GGUGGCUCAGUGGUAGAGUGCUUGCCUUGCAUGCAUGAGGCUCUGAGUUCGAUUCCCUAGCACCA
RNAcentral lists this transfer RNA (65 nucleotides) under Dipodomys ordii (Ord's kangaroo rat). It matches the Rfam family "tRNA". Rfam says of the family: Transfer RNA (tRNA) molecules are approximately 80 nucleotides in length. Lineage: Eukaryota; Metazoa; Chordata; Mammalia; Rodentia; Heteromyidae. The record is from Rfam by way of RNAcentral.